CACGUAGGGCGCGAGCGUUGUCCGGAAUUAUUGGGCGUAAAGAGCUCGUAGGCGGCCUGUUGCGUCCGCUGUGAAAGCCCGGGGCUUAACCCCGGGUCUGCAGUGGAUACGGGCAGGCUAGAGGUAGGUAGGGGAGAAUGGAAUUCCCGGUGUAGAGGUGAAAUUCGUAGAUAUUCGGAAGAACACCAGUGGCGAAGGCGACUUACUGGACACAUAUUGACGCUGAGGUGCGAAAGCGUGGGGAGCAAACAGG
This 253-nucleotide ribosomal RNA is filed under the name uncultured bacterium. RNAcentral describes it as "partial 16S ribosomal RNA". It matches the Rfam family "Bacterial small subunit ribosomal RNA", at positions 524 to 776 of the family's 1533-position model. The record is from RNAcentral.